Molecule: non-coding RNA, 250 nt
Organism: Pelobates cultripes (western spadefoot toad)
Lineage: Eukaryota; Metazoa; Chordata; Amphibia; Anura; Pelobatidae
Source: the annotation of a GenBank genome assembly
AGUGGGGGUGGGAGGGGGAUAUGAUGCCGGUAAAUCUGACGGAUCUGAGCUGAGUCACUUCCGUGUUCGUCUAACGUCAUCAUGUUCGCGAGACGUCAGACGUAAUCACGUUGUAUCAUACCUAUCGUGGUGCCGUGGGACCAAAAAACCUUGUAAGCCGAACCUGAAAAGGCAGCUGUGUGCCAUUAUUAACUGCAAUAAUUACCUUUAUGGGUUAAGUCCACCUCUAGAGGCUGUCUACCAAGCAGAC